GAAGUAGCCCUUUGAGGUAGGUAUUGGCAGCUAAUAGAUCUACUUCUACCAUUGAAAACCCUCUUUCCAUCGGAAGCUUUUCGGAGGCUUUCUUCCUUAUAAUCCAGCUUCAUCUUGAAAUUAUGGUGAACCCCUAUCCAUCUUUGAGGGCUUAUACCAUCGAAGAAGGGUUUCGAAGUCUUGGAGAAGAAAGAGCUAGCUUCAUCGGAGCUUUUCUCGAUUUGAGUGGCUUGUCGAGUCAACCACAUGUACACCUUAGGCCGACCGACCAGGUUUGUUUGGAUGUCUUCUUUUAGGGCUCUAGACCACGGAUUCCUCAUUUUUCUCUCAUCCUUCUUUGGACUUAGCUGAUCCAAGAGAGUAAGAACUAUCCUACGAGUUACACCAUCAAGAUUAAUUAAUUUUGUCGUUUAAACAGUUACAACAUUCACCUUAUUUCGACAUAUCUAUUUGCAUGAAAAUUUGUGCUUAUCUUUUUACAUUUGCCUUCUGAGCAUGUUAUAAUUGUCAAGUACAAUAUGUUACAUCUUACUUAAAACUUUUAGGUAGAUGUGUUCCAUUUUUGAGAAGGAUGGAUUAAGUUGACAUAACUUGAAGUUAUGUGCUAAUUACCUCUAGUUACCGAUUGUUGACAUUCUACUUAAAUCCUUAUGCUUUGGAAUUAAGAAUCCUGGCAUUAGAUAAUAUUUUCUUUGAACAUAAUUAGUUGGAUAACACAUUGUCAUCUUUGGAAUCCUCGCUACAAAAAUUUGAAAACCCUUAGUGCUAGUUUAUUUGAUACUUAAAUUACUUGUUUACUUCAUAUAUUCUGCUCUUAAAUUACUUGCUUACUUCAUAUAUACUGCUCUAUUAUGCUUGUGAGAUGCUUAUGUUGUGGAUUGCAGGAGUGUGGAUCAGAUGCGGAUUGUAGUUAUGUGAGAUGUAGAUUUGAGUUGAGAUGAUGCAGAAGUGGACUUUGCUUAUGUGGUGGAUCCGGACCGAGGGCUCGAGUGGUAGAUGCAAUAUUAGAUAUUGUGAUGUUGUGAUUUCCAUACUCUAGCCAAGUGUCGUGUAUAGUCUGUAUCGACUGAGAUUUAAGACCUAUACUCUGAAUGAGUGCCGGGUAUAACUGGUGAUAUUGAAUUUGGAUGCAUAAUAUUCCAGAUAA
Ananas comosus (pineapple) is the source of this 1147-nucleotide long non-coding RNA. RefSeq lists it as uncharacterized. The transcript has 2 exons. The record is from RefSeq and is a predicted model, not a curated record. Lineage: Eukaryota; Viridiplantae; Streptophyta; Magnoliopsida; Poales; Bromeliaceae.